Molecule: long non-coding RNA, 3656 nt
Organism: Sapajus apella (tufted capuchin)
Lineage: Eukaryota; Metazoa; Chordata; Mammalia; Primates; Cebidae
Exons: 2
Source: RefSeq, a predicted model, not a curated record
UGCAGAUUUACAUUUUUAAAUAACCAAACAGCUCCAAACACUUGCAAGUUAAAAAUUUUCCAUGAAGAAAGAACAGGCCUAAAAAUGUUUUGAGCAAUUGCAGCUUGAUUGGGAUACAAGAGUAAUUUUUCAGGGUAAUAGAUUUGAAUGCCUCAACUCAUUCAAUGCACAUGUGUACACUGGAUGUUUUUUAAACAUCGAAGCAUGCACUUCAACUAGCAGUUGAUUAUCUUGAUUAUAGUUCACAACAAAAACAUGAACCAACUACUUUGUGACUAUGCUCUUUGUUCCUCUUGGCAUAUAGUGGCCGGCAAUCCUUUUUAGCCAUCAUGUCUAACAGCUAGCUAACUCCUGAGUUUUGUGUGACAUAGUGAAUCAUUUUGUCUGUUCGUGUUCAAGUGCCCUCUCUAUUCUAUCAUUUGAAAAGCUAGUUAUGAUAGUAUGUUUCAAUUGUCAGACAUUCUCUUUAUUCUAAAAAAAAAAGGUUGACCCACAUUUAGAUGUUUUCCUACUCAAAGGACUUUGAAAGAACUUUUAUGUAACACUUAGUCAUUGCCCUUUUCACAGGCCCUCUUCCGCUGCUUCUAAUGAGGCUCCUUGGGUAACUGGAGGUGUCAUUUCCCUGGCAUGAAAGCACAUGGUGCUCUCUUGCUGGCUGCUUGGUUUGGAGGGUCAGGUAUGGACCUGCUUCUGCUGCUCCACCUUGCUGUCAUGCCUUUUGCAGGUGGAGUUGACGUAGGUUUGCCUUUUCACUUUGGCCUUCCUUAUCUGUUCACUUUUUCAUCUUUAUUUCCCAGUCUUUUCCCUCUAUUCUCUGACAUUCACUUAAUCUGUUUCCCUUUCUCCUGCCUUAAAUGUAUGUAGACGGUCAUCUGAAUUGAUGUCCUUACCUGUAUCUUUUCUCAUUUUAUAACACUUAUAAGCUCGUGUCUUCAUACCGAGGCAGGCUCAUGGGCACAUGACCUAUGCGGGUACAUUGAGUCCCACGCUUAGAAGGACGCUGCACUUGGCUUAGUGCUCUGCUCUUCCGUCUUAAUUUUUUUAAUACAUUUUGAACAAGAACCUCUGUCUGUUCACUUUGUAGAGGUCCCCACAAAUUAUGUAGUUGUUCCUGAUUGUAGUUAUUUUUCCCCCUUCUAGGUGGGUAAGUAGUUUUUGUUUUAAUCUUGAAUUCUUUUUCAUUCCUCAAAACAUUUCUUAUUUAUUCCCUUUCUGUCAUACCUUAUUCUGAGUGCGAUUUUAAUGUAGUCAUAUUACCUCCUUUUAUUUCUCACAUCCUUCAGGGACAUUUAGCUUUAUGGGAAAAUUGUAUAUGGUCAACUUUUUAUUAGCCACUCUGAAUAAGAAAGAAGAGAAUGAGAGAAUCAAUAAAGAUUACAGUUUGCAAAGAGAGCAAUUUUGGGAGUGCACUGUAUGAUUUUCCCCCUUUGUGAGAUUUAUCUUUUUAUUCUUGUUUGCUCAGGUUAAUUGGGUUGCACUCCCUGAAUACACAAUAACGGGUGGAGGGGGAGCCUGCUGAGUGGCAGAGGUUAGCUGAUCUGAGGUUAACUAUCUCUACUAAUAAAGGAGAUUGAUUGUUCUCAUAUUUUAUGUUUUUAAACAUAAGAAAUGAAUCAGUGUUUGGUUUUCAGUUUUACUCGAGAUUAGUGGGAUGUAAAGACCUUCCUAUUAAUAUUAAAACACCUUUUUUGGAUUUGACAAACCAAAUAUCCUGUUCUUAUCUUUUUACCUGGUGGCAGUCUGAAUCAGUUUAUCCUGUUAUCCUGUCUGCCUGGAAGCAUCAAAAUAGUGAGGAAGUCUGAUGUGCCUCCGGGUUAAUCCAGCUGCCUGGGUGUAAGUUAUUAUUACUGUUUUAUUAACAACAUUUUAUAUCACUUACUAGGUGCCAGGCACUGUUCUAUACAUUUAAAAGAUACAAAUUGGUUUCAUCCUGUGAGAUAGAUACUAUUAAUUAUCCCUAUAAUACAGUUUAAGAAACUGAGGGACAAGUAAGUUGGCUUUCCCAAAGAUACUGCCAUUUAAUGCUAGCAUGAGGGCUCGAACGGGGAAAACCUAGUUGGAGUUCGUGUGCGUAGACCCUACAUCAUGCUGCUGCUCUUUUAUUUUUUUUAAAUUUUAUGUAUCCAGCCCCUUACAGAGUCGGAAGUCUGAAUGACUGAUGGAAUAAAGCCUUAUCAUGGUAAAGGACUUUCUAAAAGUCUCUAUUUCUUUUCUUUUCUUCAGCUGGCAACACCUAAUAGCAAUGUAAGUGAUUCACAAUAUGUAAACAUCUAAACGAACCUAGAUACUAAAACUGCAUGCGACUCUAAAGGGAAAAUAUCUGAGAUGCCAUCUGGAUCUUACAGAGAAAAAUGCUUGACAGUGUAUUCCUGGGGACUAACGUUAAAGAGAUGCUUCACUAACUGUCACAAUCCCUUUUGGAAACUUGUGAUCACAGCUGGUGACAUUCCUGACAUCUUUUAUCUGUUCCCAUACCUUUUCUUUCGGCUAGACGUUACAGAGUGUGGAGUUAGAUGGCCAAUGAAUGUGCUGCAUCAGAAUCAAUAGAUCUCAUUGUUUGAGCUUCUGCCUCCCCAGACUCUCGGUACAAUUGCGGCUGUUUUGUUGGUGGAAAUCGGUGAGAAGAAAAUGAAUUCUGUGUCUAGUUCAGUUUACAGCAGAGGCAAGAGGAAGCCUGAAGUAGGGGCAGGGCGUGAAGGGCAGAGCUCAGGGUUUUCAUGCAGGUCCGGCCCUUGCAGACAUGGUUCAAGCACAACCCACAGACUUUCAUGAAACGCUGUCUCGAACAUGUGUGUAGGAAGGGCCUGAGAGGACUGCUGCAAAUACGUUAUUGUUCCCAGACGUAUCUAAGGGCAGCUAAAGUCAUGACAUUUAUGGUGAUAUUGCUUAAAUUACAUUUUCUAAUAUCUCACUCAUACAUGUAUUACCUAUAUUAUUAUACUAUUAAUUACACCUUCAUUGAUUUUUAAAAUUUUAUUCUUUUAAGACUAGAUGAGGAUGCAUUUUCUAAAAACUACAGGAUUACCCAAACAGAACAGAUUGCAUUUCAAGGUUAGGAAGUUUUUCUAAUAAUAAUUUAUGGCCCAAGUAUAAUGUGAUGAAGUGUGUUGUAGGUACCAACCUGAGACUAUGUUUGCCAAGACUUGAAUAAAAAAUGGGGGAAAUGAUUUCUAGCCCUUGUUAGAAAUGCCCUCGGAAUGCUUUUUAUUUCUAAAGAAUGCUGCAUUGUAUAUAUGCAGGUAUUUUUCAGCCAAAGGGUUUAAUUUGUAGAGAUUUUAUAUCACAUAAGAUUUGUUUCCUAUGUAUUCUCUUCCGAAACUAUAAAAAGACUAGGUUCUACCUUAAUUUCUAAGAAAAAUGUUAUAAACCUUUAUUAUGAUGGUACAAUGUAUCAAACAAUGUAAUUUUUACAUUUUCACCUUUGAGAGUUAUUUUUCCCCAAGCUUCUGCCUUUUUUUUGAGUAUUUGCAAAGCUCUGCAAAUGACAGGCGCAUCCACAAUGCAAAGAAUAAUCUUUCUUUGGGGCUGCUCCUGGGGUAGUGAUUAGUGGCGUCUUCACUGAAUAUUUAACUUCCUCAGAAUUGCUUAUCUGUGCUGUGGAUCAGUGCAAGAUCUGGGUGAACUGUCUCAUAAUUAAGUUUUCCUUGCCAAAAAAA